AGAACGAACGCUGGCGGCAUGCCUAACACAUGCAAGUCGAACGUGAUCCAGGCUUCGGCCUGGUGAAAGUGGCAGACGGGUGAGUAACGCGUGGGAACCUGCCCUGUGGUAGGGAAUAACCGUGGGAAACUGCGGCUAAUACCCUAUGAGUCCUUCGGGAGAAAGAUUUAUCGCCAUAGGAGGGGCCCGCGUCGGAUUAGGUAGUUGGUGGGGUAACGGCCUACCAAGCCUUCGAUCCGUAGCUGGUCUGAGAGGAUGAUCAGCCACACUGGGACUGAGAUACGGCCCAGACUCCUACGGGAGGCAGCAGUGGGGAAUAUUGGACAAUGGGGGCAACCCUGAUCCAGCAAUGCCGCGUGGAUGAUGAAGGCCUUCGGGUUGUAAAGUCCUUUCGGCGGGGAAGAUGAUGACGGUACCGCAGAAGAAGCCCCGGCUAACUUCGCGCCAGCAGCCGC
Molecule: ribosomal RNA, 455 nt
Filed under: uncultured bacterium
Lineage: Bacteria
Description: SSU rRNA
Rfam family: Bacterial small subunit ribosomal RNA
Source: RNAcentral